RNAcentral lists this long non-coding RNA (389 nucleotides) under Eucalyptus grandis. RNAcentral's name for it is "long non-coding RNA (EGRA_LNC002179)". The record is from RNAcentral. Lineage: Eukaryota; Viridiplantae; Streptophyta; Magnoliopsida; Myrtales; Myrtaceae.
CAAUUUUGUAUUAUUUCACUAUUAUUUUCUUUCUCUCUACAAAUACCUGCAAUAGCUUCCACUAUACUCAUUAUACAACCUUACGAAAAACAAUAAAGGAAACCCCUCCCUUGGAUAACAGUUUCCGGGUAGGGUUUUCAGACAAUCCACAUUAAACCCACCAUUAAUGCAACAAGCUGUCUGUACAUGAAUUUUAAGGAAGUAGAAUGAAUUGCAUAAGAACCUACAUAUACACAUUUCCGAUUUUGAAUCCUAAGUUGUCCACAUCAUUGCCCUGAAUGAUAAUCUACAAAGAAACUGAACAGACAUCGAGAAAAUGGAGAUGAAGAAAAAGAAGAAAAAAAGGAAAAUGAUCCUUUCCUUUUUCUUUUUUGACUUUUUCCUCCCCC